Molecule: long non-coding RNA, 652 nt
Organism: Gasterosteus aculeatus aculeatus (three-spined stickleback)
Lineage: Eukaryota; Metazoa; Chordata; Actinopteri; Perciformes; Gasterosteidae
Source: Ensembl
CAAAAGUCGCUUUUGAGUUUACCCACAAUUUAAAAUAAUAUUUAAACAGUCACAUUUUUUUUUUAAAAUGCAAAUCCUUAUUGGCUGUCAGAUGGCGCCCGUCUUAUUCUAAGACGUAAUGUAAGCAAAGGACAAAAAAGGAGGUACAAUACACAGCAGUGUAAAGAGUGGCCUGAGAGUUUGAGAACGAAGCCAAAAUGGAGACAGAAGUGACCACGGACAAUAAUGAACAAAAGACGGAGGACGACUUGCCCGGGGGCCGUACCUGGAGCUCCCUGAGUCACAAGUGUCUCUGUGGACUCACUGAUACCUUCAUGCUGCUGUUGGUCCAUGAGACACACAGGAGACAUCCAAAGAUCCAGAUGUGUCUCAGCUGGAUCUUCAACUGUUUCUGUGCAAAACCUUAAAGGAUCAAUAACUUGAAUUGUGGUUUUGAUGUAUUGUUUGUUGUACUGAUCUCUAAUCCUUUUGGUAAUGUAGAGAUAGAAUGAAUAAAUGAGCAGUAGAGCUGCUGUCACUGCUGUCAGUCCCAGUGCCCAGUAGAGGCCGAUCCUUCUCAGUCUGGUGUCACUCGUUGUCUCAGGUUCGGGUGGAUCCUUCACUGCUGCAAAGAGACACAACAAAUCUGUUUGUUAAUGUAAAGAAAAAGGUU